Molecule: ribosomal RNA, 468 nt
Filed under: uncultured bacterium
Lineage: Bacteria
Description: partial 16S ribosomal RNA
Rfam family: Bacterial small subunit ribosomal RNA
Source: RNAcentral
GACGAACGCUGGCGGCGUGCUUAACACAUGCAAGUCGAACGGAAAGGCCCUGCUUUUGUGGGGUGCUCGAGUGGCGAACGGGUGAGUAACACGUGAGUAACCUGCCCUUGACUUUGGGAUAACUUCAGGAAACUGGGGCUAAUACCGGAUAGGAGCUCCUGCUGCAUGGUGGGGGUUGGAAAGUUUCGGCGGUUGGGGAUGGACUCGCGGCUUAUCAGCUUGUUGGUGGGGUAGUGGCUUACCAAGGCUUUGACGGGUAGCCGGCCUGAGAGGGUGACCGGCCACAUUGGGACUAAGAUACGGCCCAGACUCCUACGGGAGGCAGCAGUGGGGAAUAUUGCACAAUGGGCGGAAGCCUGAUGCAGCAACGCCGCGUGCGGGAUGACGGCCUUCGGGUUGUAAACCGCUUUCGCCUGUGACGAAGCGUUAGUGACGGUAAUGGGUAAAGAAGCACCGGCUAACUACGUG